Pseudopipra pipra is the source of this 462-nucleotide long non-coding RNA. RefSeq lists it as uncharacterized. The record is from RefSeq and is a predicted model, not a curated record. Lineage: Eukaryota; Metazoa; Chordata; Aves; Passeriformes; Pipridae. The transcript has 2 exons.
GUAAAAAAUCCUGUCUUCAAAGGAGAGCAGGAAUAAAGCAAACUUCCCAGAGUAAGAAAUGAGGAAUUUCAGCAUGGAAACACCACGGCUGGAGCUUCCCAACAUCCCAGAUCCAGUUUGGGUCCCUGAUCCAGGUCCUGCCGGGCCAGCUCGCUCUGCUGCCUCACCCACCUGCGGGAAUUAAAUCCAUGGAAAAGGAGACGUCACCAGGCUCCCCCAGACAAAUCCUGCUCAGGAUCAUCCCCUGGGCCCGGCAGCAGCUCCUUAAAGGCUUCGGCCGUGACCCAAGACCUGCCGGGGCACUGCAGGGACAAUUCCCACGGAUCCUCCAGCCAUCCCUCCCCAAACCCCACCAUUCCCAGCAGCUGGAGCAGCAUCCCAGUCCCUCAGGGGCACCCCCCUACAGGUGGCAUGUGAAGGAGGGAAAUAAAUCAGGGAAUUUGCCCCCUUUGGGGCUCGGAA